Molecule: ribosomal RNA, 223 nt
Filed under: uncultured bacterium
Lineage: Bacteria
Description: partial 16S ribosomal RNA
Rfam family: Bacterial small subunit ribosomal RNA
Source: RNAcentral
AGCGGCGGACGGCUGAGUAAUGCAUUGGAACGUACCCCAAACUGAGGGAUAAUCCACCGAAAGGUGGACUAAUACCGCAUGUGCCAUUCGUGGUAAAGCUACGGCGGUUUGGGAGCGGCCAAUGUUCGAUUAGCUAGUUGGUGAGGUAAUAGCUCACCAAGGCUACGAUCGAUAGCGGGUCUGAGAGGAUGAUCCGCCAGACUGGAACUGAGACACGGUCCAG